GAUGAACGCUGGCGGCGUGCCUAAUACAUGCAAGUCGAACGCUGGAAAUCUAGCUUGCUAGAUUGAAGGAGUGGCGAACGGGUGAGUAAUACAUAAGCAACCUACCCACGAAGACUGGGAUAAUCUCUGGAAACGGGGACUAAUACCGGAUAGGUAAUCGGAAGGCAUCUUCUGGUUAUUAAAGGUUAAAAACACUGGUGGAUGGGCUUAUGGCGCACUAGUUAGUUGGUGAGGUAACGGCCCACCAAGACGAUGAUGCGUAGCCGGCCUGAGAGGGUGAACGGCCACAUUGGGACUGAGACACGGCCCAGACUCCUACGGGAGGCAGCAGUAGGGAAUUUUCGGCAAUGGGGGAAACCCUGACCGAGCAACGCCGCGUGAGUGAUGACGGCCUUCGGGUUGUAAAGCUCUGUUGUAAGGGAAGAACGGUAGAUAGAGAAUAUCUAAAUGACGGUACCUUACCAGAAAGCCACGGCUAACUACGUG
Molecule: ribosomal RNA, 486 nt
Filed under: uncultured bacterium
Lineage: Bacteria
Description: partial 16S ribosomal RNA
Rfam family: Bacterial small subunit ribosomal RNA
Source: RNAcentral